RNAcentral lists this ribosomal RNA (324 nucleotides) under Babesia venatorum (nom. ined.). RNAcentral's name for it is "SSU rRNA". It matches the Rfam family "Eukaryotic small subunit ribosomal RNA", at positions 472 to 849 of the family's 1831-position model. The record is from RNAcentral. Lineage: Eukaryota; Apicomplexa; Aconoidasida; Piroplasmida; Babesiidae.
AAGAAAUAACAAUACAGGGCAAUUGUCUUGUAAUUGGAAUGAUGGUGACCUAAACCCUCACCAGAGUAACAAUUGGAGGGCAAGUCUGGUGCCAGCAGCCGCGGUAAUUCCAGCUCCAAUAGCGUAUAUUAAACUUGUUGCAGUUAAAAAGCUCGUAGUUGAAUUUCUGCGUUAUCGAGUUAUUGACUCUUGUCUUUAAUCGAUUUCGCUUUUGGGAUUUAUCCCUUUUUACUUUGAGAAAAUUAGAGUGUUUCAAGCAGACUUUUGUCUUGAAUACUUCAGCAUGGAAUAAUAGAGUAGGACUUUGGUUCUAUUUUGUUGGUU